AAUAAAUUUAUUUGUGGGUUUUUGUGUUCAACGUUUAACAGUCAUCUUAUUUGAAAUUUUCUAAGAUUAGUAUUUUUUAAUUAGAUGAUAAAACAUGGAUAGUACUUUAUACAUGACUUAUUUUUUAAACUUUUUUUCAUAAAUUUUUAAAUAAAACGGACGGUUAAAUGUUGGGCACACUGAUUGAUUGCAG
This 193-nucleotide microRNA precursor is filed under the name Oryza meridionalis. Its description in RNAcentral is "MIR812 microRNA precursor family". It matches the Rfam family "MIR812 microRNA precursor family". Lineage: Eukaryota; Viridiplantae; Streptophyta; Magnoliopsida; Poales; Poaceae. The record is from Rfam by way of RNAcentral.